This 27-nucleotide non-coding RNA is filed under the name Homo sapiens (human). Lineage: Eukaryota; Metazoa; Chordata; Mammalia; Primates; Hominidae. The record is from RNAcentral.
UAAGAUCAUAGGACUGGCCUAGCCCCC